Molecule: ribosomal RNA, 254 nt
Filed under: uncultured bacterium
Lineage: Bacteria
Description: partial 16S ribosomal RNA
Rfam family: Bacterial small subunit ribosomal RNA
Source: RNAcentral
UACGUAGGGGGGCAAGCGUUGUCCGGAUUUAUUGGGCGUAAAGAGCGUGUAGGCGGCCUGAAAGGUCAGCUGUGAAAACUUGAGGCUCAACCUCGAGACGUCGGUUGAAACCAUCUGGCUAGAGUCCGGAAGAGGAGAGUGGAAUUCCCGGUGUAGCGGUGAAAUGCGCAGAUAUCGGGAAGAACACCCGUGGCGAAGGCGGCUCUCUGGGCCGGUACUGACGCUGAGGAGCGAAAGCGUGGGUAGCAAACAGG